Molecule: ribosomal RNA, 253 nt
Filed under: uncultured bacterium
Lineage: Bacteria
Description: partial 16S ribosomal RNA
Rfam family: Bacterial small subunit ribosomal RNA
Source: RNAcentral
UACGGAGGAUGCAAGCGUUAUCCGGAAUGAUUGGGCGUAAAGCGUCCGCAGGUGGCUGUGUAAGUCUGCUGUCAAAGAGCGAAGCUCAACUUCGUAAAGGCAGUGGAAACUACACGGCUAGAGUGCGUUCGGGGCAGAGGGAAUUCCUGGUGUAGCGGUGAAAUGCGUAGAUAUCGUGAGGAAGACCAGUGGCGAAGGCGGGUCUCUGGACAGUUCCUGACACUGAGGCACGAAGGCCAGGGGAGCAAACGGG